RNAcentral lists this ribosomal RNA (253 nucleotides) under uncultured bacterium. Its description in RNAcentral is "partial 16S ribosomal RNA". It matches the Rfam family "Bacterial small subunit ribosomal RNA", at positions 524 to 776 of the family's 1533-position model. The record is from RNAcentral.
UACGUAGGGGGCUAGCGUUGUCCGGAAUCAUUGGGCGUAAGGAGCGUGUAGGCGGCCCGGUAAGUCCGCUGUAAAAGUCAAAGGCUCAACCUUUGAAUGUCAGUGGAUACUGCCGGGCUAGAGUCCGGAAGAGGCGAGUGGAACUCCUGGUGUAGCGGUGGAAUGCGCAGAUAUCAGGAAGAACACCAACGGCGAAGGCAGCUCGCUAGGACGGUACUGACGCUGAGACGCGAAAGCGUGGGGAGCGAACAGG